CGCGAGAUCGCGGCCUUUUUCGAAAAGUACUCGUUACGAACGAAAAAGCGCAUCGACGCUCAGAGAUUUGCGAAGGUUUUAACACUGAUGGAAGAUGGCCGGCACCUGACAAAUGAAGGCUUGAGGGAGAUCGAAGAUAUCGCGCUUUCGAUGAAUACCGGCAAUCGUCCGCGAUUGCAGGCAUUAUUGGAUGAAGAUAGAGUCCACUCCGGCGUGAAAGCGUCGGAAGAAAAGUGAGCGAAAUUCCUUGUCGGGUAAGUUCCGACCUGCACGAAUGGAGUAACGACUUGGGCGCUGUCUCGAUGGGGGGCCCGGCGAAAUUGCAGUACCAGUGAAGAUGCUGGUUACCCGCAGCAGGACGGAAAGACCCCGUGAAGCUUUACUGUAUCCUGAUCUUGGGUUCUGAGACUGUCCGUACAGGAUAGGUGGGAGUCGAUGAGACGAGGGCGCUAGCUUUCGUGGAGACAACGUUGGGAUACCACCCUGAUAGUCUUGGGAUUCUAACCGGCCACCGUUAUCCGGUGGCGGGACAGGGUCAGGUGGGCAGUUUGACUGGGGCGGUCGCCUCCUAAAGAGUAACGGAGGCGCCCAAAGGUUCCCUCAGAACGGUCAGAAACCGUUCUCACAGAGUGCAUAGGCAUAAGGGAGCUUGACUGCGAGACGGACAGGUCGAGCAGGUGCGAAAGCAGGGCUAAGUGAUCCGGCGGUACCGAAUGGAAGGGCCGUCGCUUAUCGGAUAAAAGCUACUCCGGGGAUAACAGGCUUAUCUCCCCCAAGAGUUCACAUCGACGGGGAGGUUUGGCACCUCGAUGUCGGAUCGUCGCAUCCUGGGGCUGUAGUAGGUCCCAAGGGUUGGGCUGUUCGCCCAUUAAAGCGGUACGCGAUCUGGGUUCAGAACGUCGUGAGACAGUUCGGUCCCUAUCCGCUGUGGGCGUAGGAGAUUUGAGGAGCGUGGACUCUAGUACGAGAGGACCGAGUCGAACGAACCGCUGGUGAACCGGUUGUUCCGCCAGGAGCAUGGCCGGGUAGCUACGUUCGGAUCAGAUAAACGCUGAAAGCAUAUAAGCGUGAAACUGACUCCAAGAUGAGAUCUCAAUCCCGUAAGGGUGAAGAGCCGUGGGAGACUACCACGUUGAUAGGCCGGGGGUGGAAGCACCGUAAGGUGUGGAGCUGACCGGUACUAAUAGCUCGGAAAUUUUUUAC
This 1203-nucleotide ribosomal RNA is filed under the name mine drainage metagenome. RNAcentral's name for it is "bacterial LSU rRNA". It matches the Rfam family "Bacterial large subunit ribosomal RNA", at positions 1749 to 2925 of the family's 2925-position model. The record is from RNAcentral.